Molecule: ribosomal RNA, 899 nt
Filed under: Niesslia tenuis
Lineage: Eukaryota; Fungi; Ascomycota; Sordariomycetes; Hypocreales; Niessliaceae
Description: partial large subunit ribosomal RNA
Rfam family: Eukaryotic large subunit ribosomal RNA
Source: RNAcentral
GCAUAUCAAUAAGCGGAGGAAAAGAAACCAACAGGGAUUGCCCCAGUAACGGCGAGUGAAGCGGCAACAGCUCAAAUUUGAAAUCUGGCCCCCCAGGGCCCGAGUUGUAAUUUGUAGAGGAUGCUUUUGGCGCGGUGCCUUCCGAGUUCCCUGGAACGGGACGCCAUAGAGGGUGAGAGCCCCGUCUGGUUGGACACCUAGCCUCUGUAAAGCUCCUUCGACGAGUCGAGUAGUUUGGGAAUGCUGCUCUAAAUGGGAGGUAUAUGUCUUCUAAAGCUAAAUACCGGCCAGAGACCGAUAGCGCACAAGUAGAGUGAUCGAAAGAUGAAAAGCACUUUGAAAAGAGGGUUAAAUAGUACGUGAAAUUGUUGAAAGGGAAGCGUUUGUGACCAGACUUGGGCCCGGUUGAUCAUCCACCGUUCUCGGUGGUGCACUCUGCCGGCCCAGGCCAGCAUCAGUUCGCGCCGGGGGAUAAAGGCUUCGGGAAUGUGGCUCCUCCGGGAGUGUUAUAGCCCGUUGUGUAAUACCCUGGUGCGGACUGAGGUUCGCGCUCCGCAAGGAUGCUGGCGUAAUGGUCAUCAGCGACCCGUCUUGAAACACGGACCAAGGAGUCGUCUUCGUAUGCGAGUGUUCGGGUGUCAAACCCCUACGCGUAAUGAAAGUGAACGCAGGUGAGAGCUUCGGCGCAUCAUCGACCGAUCCUGAUGUUCUCGGAUGGAUUUGAGUAAGAGCAUACGGGGCCGGACCCGAAAGAAGGUGAACUAUGCCUGUAUAGGGUGAAGCCAGAGGAAACUCUGGUGGAGGCUCGCAGCGGUUCUGACGUGCAAAUCGAUCGUCAAAUAUGGGCAUGGGGGGCGAAAGACUAAUCGAACCUUCUAGUAGCUGGGUUUCCGCCGAAG